RNAcentral lists this transfer RNA (66 nucleotides) under Hyaena hyaena (striped hyena). Its description in RNAcentral is "tRNA-Pro". The record is from RNAcentral. Lineage: Eukaryota; Metazoa; Chordata; Mammalia; Carnivora; Hyaenidae.
CAAGGAAUAGUUUAAAUAGAAUUUCAGCUUUGGGUGUUGAUGGUGGAGCUGUUGCUUCUUCCUUGA